UAGAGUCUUGUAGAGGGGGGUAGAAUUCCAGGUGUAGCGGUGAAAUGCGUAGAGAUCUGGAGGAAUACCGGUGGCGAAGGCGGCCCCCUGGACAAAGACUGACGCUCAGGUGCGAAAGCGUGGGGAGCAAACAGGAUUAGAUACCCUGGUAGUCCACGCCGUAAACGAUGUCGAUUUGGAGGUUGUGCCCUUGAGGCGUGGCUUCCGGAGCUAACGCGUUAAAUCGACCGCCUGGGGAGUACGGCCGCAAGGUUAAAACUCAAAUGAAUUGACGGGGGCCCGCACAAGCGGUGGAGCAUGUGGUUUAAUUCGAUGCAACGCGAAGAACCUUACCUGGUCUUGACAUCCACAGAACUUUCCAGAGAUGGAUUGGUGCCUUCGGGAACUGUGAGACAGGUGCUGCAUGGCUGUCGUCAGCUCGUGUUGUGAAAUGUUGGGUUAAGUCCCGCAACGAGCGCAACCC
Molecule: ribosomal RNA, 463 nt
Filed under: Klebsiella pneumoniae
Lineage: Bacteria; Pseudomonadati; Pseudomonadota; Gammaproteobacteria; Enterobacterales; Enterobacteriaceae
Description: bacterial SSU rRNA
Rfam family: Bacterial small subunit ribosomal RNA
Source: RNAcentral